CCACGCCAACGCCAUAACUCUUCUCAUCGCUGACGUUGUUCUCCACAUAACUGUCGCUGUGCCUUCUGCCCAUCAUACCUAGCAAGAGUAGCCACGUGAACUUGGUUCUGCAGCUGAAGAACAAAUAUACACGAAGAAGCUUGGUCAACAUUUGACCAUCAAAAACGUUGUGAACGUGCCCCAACUGGCGAAGAUGUACGAUGUGGCUGCACAGGUGGUCUCAGAGACAAAGUGCCAUGGCAUCGGCUUGAGGUUGUAACUUGGGUUGAUGUCGCUGCACCACAUCUUGGAUGCCUGGGGACUGUCUUUCGCUGUUGUUAGCCGAGAUAAAGGAGUAGGCUGCGAUCACUGGACUCGCAGAUGACGCUCUCAACUCUUAGGCCUUCCUUCGUUCAUCAACCUCAUCAC
This 408-nucleotide long non-coding RNA is filed under the name Malus domestica (apple). Its description in RNAcentral is "long non-coding RNA (MDOM_LNC006790)". The record is from RNAcentral. Lineage: Eukaryota; Viridiplantae; Streptophyta; Magnoliopsida; Rosales; Rosaceae.